This 254-nucleotide ribosomal RNA is filed under the name uncultured prokaryote. Its description in RNAcentral is "partial 16S ribosomal RNA". It matches the Rfam family "Bacterial small subunit ribosomal RNA", at positions 524 to 777 of the family's 1533-position model. The record is from RNAcentral.
UACGGAGGGUCCAAGCGUUAUCCGGAUUUAUUGGGUUUAAAGGGUGCGUAGGCGGCACAGUAAGUUAGAGGUGAAAUCUCGCGGCUCAACCGCGAAACUGCCUCUGAUACUGCUGAGCUAGAGAUUAGAUGCUGUGGGCGGAAUGUGUAGUGUAGCGGUGAAAUGCUUAGAGAUUACACAGAACACCGAUUGCGAAGGCUGCUCACAAAUCUACUUCUGACGUUGAGGCACGAAAGCGUGGGUAGCAAACAGGA